AUGAGAGGGAGCGGCCUGGUGUUCGUGAUCGCUCUCCUGUUCGUCGGGUGCCUUGCGGUUGGGCAAUGUCGUCCUGUGGUCAGAGGAAGCCACCAGGAGAGUCAUGCCAAUAUUACCGCAAAUGCUACAACUAUUGCGGAUUCGUCGUCGUCGUCAAGGGAGAGCUCGAGCUCUAGCAAACUCACGAACUGGUGUUACCCAAGGGACUGCAACAAUCCAAACAAUCCGUUCUACACGAGACCGUGCUACUGCUGCCCCUUGCGGCCGGACGAGCUGUGCUUUAGUAAUAUCGACGAUUGCCAUGCAGGGUGCCCGACUUGUCAUCCUACUUGCUGA
This 336-nucleotide ribosomal RNA is filed under the name Triticum aestivum (bread wheat). Its description in RNAcentral is "partial small subunit ribosomal RNA". Lineage: Eukaryota; Viridiplantae; Streptophyta; Magnoliopsida; Poales; Poaceae. The record is from RNAcentral.